RNAcentral lists this ribosomal RNA (253 nucleotides) under uncultured bacterium. Its description in RNAcentral is "partial 16S ribosomal RNA". It matches the Rfam family "Bacterial small subunit ribosomal RNA", at positions 524 to 776 of the family's 1533-position model. The record is from RNAcentral.
UACGUAGGGAGCAAGCGUUGUCCGGAAUCAUUGGGCGUAAAGCGCGCGUAGGUGGCCCCAUAAGUCCGCUGUGAAAGUCAAAGGCUCAACCUUUGAAAGCCGGUGGAUACUGUGGGACUAGAGUACGGAAGAGGCGAGUGGAAUUCCUGGUGUAGCGGUGGAAUGCGUAGAUAUCGGGAGGAACACCAGUGGCGAAGGCGGCUACCUGGACCAGCACUGACACUGAGGCACGAAAGCGUGGGGAGCAAACAGG